Molecule: ribosomal RNA, 600 nt
Filed under: uncultured bacterium
Lineage: Bacteria
Description: bacterial SSU rRNA
Rfam family: Bacterial small subunit ribosomal RNA
Source: RNAcentral
ACGAGACUGGCGUACGGGUGCGGAACACGUGCGCAAGCUGCCUUUAUCUUGGGAGGAUAGCCUUUCCGACACAGGGAAAGAUUAAGUACCCCAUAAUAUGUUGGCAUGGCAUCAUUCGGACAUUGAAGAACUCCGGUGGGAUAGAGAUGGGCACUGCGCAAAGAUUAGAUAGUUGGUAGAGAGUAACGGCUCACNCAAGUCUACGAUCUUUAGGGGGCCUGAGAUGGGUGAUCCCCCAAACGUGGUACUGAGACACGGACCANACUCCUACGGGAGGCAUGCAGUGAGGAAUAUUGGACAAUGGGUGAGAGCCUGAUCCAGCCAUCCCGCGUGAAGGACGACUGCCCUAUGGGUUGUAAACUUCUUUUGUAUAGGGAUAAACCUACCCUCGUGAGGGUACUGAAGGUACUAUGACGAAUAAGCACCGGCUAAUUCCGUGCCAGCAGCCGACGGUAAUACGGAGGGUGCAAGCGUUAUCCGGAUUUAUGGGUUUAACACGGGUCCGUAGGCGGAUCUGGUAAGUCCAGUGGUGAAAAUCUCACAGUUAAUUGUGAAACCUGGGCCAUUGGAUACUGGCAGGUNCNUCGAAGUUGUUCGGUU